GGUGAAUACGUUCCCGGGCCUUGUACACACCGCCCGUCACACCAUGGGAGUGGGUUGCAAAAGAAGUAGGUAGCUUAACCUUCGGGAGGGCGCUUACCACUUUGUGAUUCAUGACUGGGGUGAAGUCGUAACAAGGUAACCGUAGGGGAACCUGCGGUUGGAUCACCUCCUUACCUGAAAGAAGC
This 185-nucleotide ribosomal RNA is filed under the name Salmonella enterica subsp. enterica serovar Infantis. RNAcentral describes it as "partial 16S ribosomal RNA". It matches the Rfam family "Bacterial small subunit ribosomal RNA", at positions 1361 to 1533 of the family's 1533-position model. Lineage: Bacteria; Pseudomonadati; Pseudomonadota; Gammaproteobacteria; Enterobacterales; Enterobacteriaceae. The record is from RNAcentral.